CCUACGGGUGGCAGCAGUGAGGAAUAUUGGUCAAUGGACGAGAGUCUGAACCAGCCAAGCAGCGUGAAGGAUGACUGCUCUUUGGGUUGUAAACUUCUUUUAUAUGGGAAUAAAUUGUUCCAAGUGUGGGAUUAUGUAUGUACCAUACGAAUAAGGAUCGGCUAACUCCGUGCCAGCAGCCGCGGUAAUACGGAGGAUCCGUGCGUUAUCCGGAUUUAUUGGGUUUAAAGGGAGCGUAGGUGGGUUGUUAAGUCAGUUGUGAAAGUUUGCGGCUCAACCGUAACAAUGCAGUUGAAACUGGCAGUCUAGAGUACAGUAGAGGUAGGCGGAAUUCGUGGUGUAGCGGUGAAAUGCGUAGAUAUCACGAGGAACACCGAUUGCGAAGGCAGCUCCCUGGACAGCAACUGACGCUGAGGCACGAAAGUGUGGGUAUCAAACAGGAUUAGAUACCCGGGUAGUC
Molecule: ribosomal RNA, 460 nt
Filed under: uncultured bacterium
Lineage: Bacteria
Description: partial 16S ribosomal RNA
Rfam family: Bacterial small subunit ribosomal RNA
Source: RNAcentral